UAUUGGGCGUAAAGCGCGCGCAGGCGGUCUCUUAAGUCUGAUGUGAAUGCCCACGGCUCAACCGUGGAGGGUCAUUGGAAACUGGGGGACUUGAGUACUGGAGAGGAGAGUGGAAUUCCAUGUGUAGCGGUGAAAUGCGUAGAUAUAUGGAGGAACACCAGUGUCGAAGGCGGCUCUCUGGCCAGUAACUGACGCUGAGGCGCGAAAGCGUGGGGAGCAAACGGGAUUAGAUACCCUGGUAGUCCACGCCGUAAACGAUGAGUGCUAGGUGUUGGGGGGUUCCACCCUCAGUGCUGACGUUAACACAUUAAGCACUCCGCCUGGGUAGUACGACCGCAAGGUUGAAACUCAAAGGAAUUGACGGGGGCCCGCACAAGCAGUGGAGCAUGUGGUUUAAAUCGAAGCAACGCGAAGAACCUUACCAGGUCUUGACAUCCUUCGCUACUUCCAGAGAUGGAAGGUUCCCCUUCGGGGGACGAAGUGACAGGUGGUGCAUGGUUGUCGUCAGCUCGUGUCGUGAGAUGUUGGGUUAAGUCCCGCAACGAGCGCAACCCUUGAUCUUAGUUGCCAGCAUUCAGUUGGGCACUCUAAGGUGACUGCCGGUGACAAACCGGAGGAAGGUGGGGACGACGUCAAAUCAUCAUGCCCCUUAUGACCUGGGCUACACACGUGCUACAAUGGAUGGUACAAAGGGCAGCAAAACCGCGAGGUUGAGCGAAUCCCAUAAAGCCAUUCUCAGUUCGGAUUGCAGGCUGCAACUCGCCUGCAUGAAGCCGGAAUUGCUAGUAAUCGCGGAUCAGCAUGCCGCGGUGAAUACGUUCCCGGCUUA
RNAcentral lists this ribosomal RNA (829 nucleotides) under uncultured bacterium. Its description in RNAcentral is "bacterial SSU rRNA". It matches the Rfam family "Bacterial small subunit ribosomal RNA", at positions 552 to 1382 of the family's 1533-position model. The record is from RNAcentral.